AACAGGAUUAGAUCCUUGGUAGUCCACGCCUUAAACGAUGGCAACUAGUUGUUGGGGGGAGCAAUCCCUUAGUAAUGAAGCUAACGCGUGAAGUUGCCCGCGUGGGGAGUACGGUCGCAAGAUUAAAACUCAAAGGAAUUGGCGGGGGCCCGCACAAGCGGUGGAUGAUGUGGUUUAAUUCGAUGCAACGCGAAAAACCUUACCUACCCUUGACAUGCCAGGAACCCCGAUGAGAGUUGGGGGUGCUCGAAAGAGAACCUGGACACAGGUGCUGCAUGGCUGUCGUCAGCUCGUGUCGUGAGAUGUUGGGUUAAGUCCCGCAACGAGCGCAACCCUUGCCAUUAGUUGCUACGAAAGGGCACUCUAAUGGGACUGCCGGUGACAAACCGGAGGAAGGUGGGGAUGACGUCAAGUCCUCAUGGCCCUUAUGGGUAGGGCUACACACGUCAUACAAUGGCCGGUACAAAGGGCAGCCAACCCGCGAGGGGGAGCCAAUCCCAUAAAGCCGGUCGUAGUCCGGAUCGCAGUCUGCAACUCGACUGCGUGAAGUCGGAAUCGCUAGUAAUCGUGGAUCAGCAUGUCACGGUGAAUACGUUCCCGGGUCUUGUACACACCGCCCGUCACACCAUGGGAGCGGGUCUCGCCAGAAGUAGUUAGCCUAACCGCAAGGAGGGCGAUUACCACGGCGGGGUUCGUGACUGGGGUGAAGUCGUAACAAGGUAACC
This 725-nucleotide ribosomal RNA is filed under the name uncultured bacterium. Its description in RNAcentral is "bacterial SSU rRNA". It matches the Rfam family "Bacterial small subunit ribosomal RNA", at positions 771 to 1501 of the family's 1533-position model. The record is from RNAcentral.